RNAcentral lists this transfer RNA (71 nucleotides) under Camelus ferus (Wild Bactrian camel). It matches the Rfam family "tRNA". Rfam says of the family: Transfer RNA (tRNA) molecules are approximately 80 nucleotides in length. Their secondary structure includes four short double-helical elements and three loops (D, anti-codon, and T loops). The record is from Rfam by way of RNAcentral. Lineage: Eukaryota; Metazoa; Chordata; Mammalia; Artiodactyla; Camelidae.
GAGGGUAUAGCUCAGUGGUAAAGUCCAUGCUUGGCAUGCAUGAGGUCCUGGGUUUAAUCCUCAGACCUCCA